AGAUUUGAUGUAGGUAAUCCAUCCGGAGUUUCUGGGUGAGGAGCCGACUGUCUACGGAGGUGAACUUUGGGACAAAGAUCCAACUACAUAUGAGGAUGAUUGUGCUAUUAAAGCACGCUGAGGAUGAGAGGAGGCAGACUUAAUCUUGAGAGAUCUGUAUGUCGCAAUGCAGAGAAAUUUUAGUUUCAAGCUUAGGUUUCCCUGCUCCUAAAUAUCAUUAUCAACUCUCUCUAUGGCAAUAGAGAAAUUUUCUUGAGGGAGCUAUUCUCCAAUGCUUUUGUUGUGUUGUAUGAAAUCAACUUCCUUUCCCUCGCAAAUAAGGAGAUUUCUCAAGGUCACCUCCCCUUGUCUCGUGGGAAGAGAUAUUGUUCCAACUCUUUCUGAAUUUCAAGUUUAUUUGGGAGUCAAAAGUUGAUGGUUGUUUGCAGUCUAUGAAGAUGUAUAUGGUAAGCUACUAGGACGUGGAACUGAUAUCAGAUUGCAUCUUGAAGAGGAAGCCCAAUAUGUUUUAGAGGACAUACUAAAAGUGACUCCUUUUUUGUUUAUUUGUCUUGCUUCGUAAACUGACAUCAUUGGUUACAAUCAAGUCCUUCCACAUUGUUGAUGGAUGAUUGAUAUUAUUCCAACUUGUUAGUUCCAACUCAAUCUAUUCUUGAACAAUU
Macadamia integrifolia is the source of this 662-nucleotide long non-coding RNA. RefSeq lists it as uncharacterized. The transcript has 3 exons. The record is from RefSeq and is a predicted model, not a curated record. Lineage: Eukaryota; Viridiplantae; Streptophyta; Magnoliopsida; Proteales; Proteaceae.